UACUAGAGUAGCACUCGCAUAUCAAUAAGCGGAGGAAAAGAAACUAACAAGGAUUCCCCUAGUAACGGCGAGUGAAGCGGGAAGAGCUCAAAUUUGAAAUCUUAAAGGGUUUCCCUUUACGAAUUGUAGUUUAAAGAAGUGUUUUCUGUUGAGGUUUUGGUAAAAGUUCUUUGGAAUAGGACAUCAUAGAGGGUGAGAAUCCCGUAUUUGACCUUUACUUUCAACUUUGUGAUACACUUUCAAAGAGUCGGAUUGUUUGGGAAUGCAGUCCAAAAUGGGUGGUAAAUUUCAUCUAAAGCUAAAUAUUGGCGAGAGACCGAUAGCGAACAAGUACCGUGAGGGAAAGAUGAAAAGAACUUUGAAAAGAGAGUUAAACAGUACGUGAAAUUGUCAAAAGGGAAGCGCUUUGACACCAGUGUUGUUUUUUCUGAAAAUCAAUUAAAGAACUGUUUAUGCUAAGUUGUUUAGACUUUAUCAGCUAUCUGCUUAGUUUUGAGCUUUUCUUUAAUGCACUUUUCAGUUAACAAGUCAACAUCAAUUUCUUUUGCUGUAAAAAAGCUUGAGGAAGGUGGCUUGAGAUUCGUCUUAAGUGUUUAUAGCCUCUUGCCUAUGCAGUCGGGAGAGAUUGAGGUCUGCAGCGUAGAUCCUUCGGGGCUAAAUGCAUUUGUGCUAAGUUAUAGCAUUUUAUAGACAACUUGUUGACUAUGAUUUGUCUUGUAGCUUACUCGCUUAUGUUAUUUUACCUACGCUUAGGAUGUUGAACUCUAUCACACACAG
This 777-nucleotide ribosomal RNA is filed under the name uncultured Neocallimastigales. Its description in RNAcentral is "partial large subunit ribosomal RNA". It matches the Rfam family "Eukaryotic large subunit ribosomal RNA", at positions 20 to 634 of the family's 3401-position model. The record is from RNAcentral. Lineage: Eukaryota; Fungi; Neocallimastigomycota; Neocallimastigomycetes; Neocallimastigales.